CAGAAAGCUAAUGGAACAUAAAUGAUGGACUUUUUCGACCGAAAAUACAUCUGUUGUGGACCUGGGAUUCCUGGAAGUGCUUUCUGAUGAAGACAACUAAAGGUUUGUCAUCUGAUUUCUUUGAGUCUGGUGGAUAUGGAUGUAACCAUACUACAAGGCAGGACAGUUUUCUGCAUCCAGCUUGAGGCUUGGUACCAGCAGGAAUAUGGAGCACUCUGUUAGUGAGUCUGCUGAGCUAUGGAACUCCAGAGCAGCACCCUGCCACCCUGUUUUCAGCUAUCUGCAGACAGUUCCCUGAGUAAGGAUGCAACUAUCAA
RNAcentral lists this long non-coding RNA (317 nucleotides) under Salmo salar (Atlantic salmon). RNAcentral's name for it is "lncRNA (ENSSSAG00000115760.1)". The record is from RNAcentral. Lineage: Eukaryota; Metazoa; Chordata; Actinopteri; Salmoniformes; Salmonidae.